RNAcentral lists this ribosomal RNA (253 nucleotides) under uncultured bacterium. Its description in RNAcentral is "partial 16S ribosomal RNA". It matches the Rfam family "Bacterial small subunit ribosomal RNA", at positions 524 to 776 of the family's 1533-position model. The record is from RNAcentral.
UGCGUAGGUGGCAAGCGUUGUCCGGAUUUACUGGGCGUAAAGAGCUCGUAGGCGGUUUGUUGCGUCGGCUGUGAAAUCCCGAGGCUCAACCUCGGGUCUGCAGUCGAUACGAGCAAACUAGAGUGUUGCAGGGGAGACUGGAAUUCCUGGUGUAGCGGUGAAAUGCGCAGAUAUCAGGAGGAACACCGGUGGCGAAGGCGGGUCUCUGGGCAACAACUGACGCUGAGGAGCGAAAGCGUGGGGAGCGAACAGG